This 253-nucleotide ribosomal RNA is filed under the name uncultured bacterium. Its description in RNAcentral is "partial 16S ribosomal RNA". It matches the Rfam family "Bacterial small subunit ribosomal RNA", at positions 524 to 776 of the family's 1533-position model. The record is from RNAcentral.
UACAGAGGUCUCAAGCGUUGUUCGGAUUCAUUGGGCGUAAAGAGCUCGUAGGCGGCUAUUCAAGUCGAACGUGAAAUCUCGGAGCUCAACUCCGAGCCUGCGUUCGAUACUGGGUAGCUAGAGUCUGGUAGGGGGAUCUGGAAUUCCUGGUGUAGCGGUGGAAUGCGCAGAUAUCAGGAGGAACACCGGUGGCGAAGGCGGGAUCCUGGGCCAGUACUGACGCUGAGGAGCGAAAGCGUGGGGAGCAAACAGG